CAGGGUGACAGGUGGUGCAUGGUUGUCGGUCAGCUCGUGUCGUGAGAUGUGGGUUAAGUCCCGCAACGAGCGCAACCCUCGACCUUAGUUGCCAGCAUUCAGUUGGGCACUCUAAGGUGACUGCCGGCUAAAAGUCGGAGGAAGGUGGGGAUGACGUCAAAUCAUCAUGCCCCUUAUGACCUGGGCUACACACGUGCUACAAUGGGCGGUACAAAGGGUCGCGAACCCGCGAGGGGGAGCCAAUCCCAAAAAGCCGCUCUCAGUUCGGAUUGCAGGCUGCAACUCGCCUGCAUGAAGCCGGAAUCGCUAGUAAUCGCGGAUCAGCAUGCCGCGGUGAAUACGUUCCCGGGCCUU
RNAcentral lists this ribosomal RNA (354 nucleotides) under uncultured Anoxybacillus sp. RNAcentral describes it as "bacterial SSU rRNA". It matches the Rfam family "Bacterial small subunit ribosomal RNA", at positions 1027 to 1382 of the family's 1533-position model. The record is from RNAcentral. Lineage: Bacteria; Bacillati; Bacillota; Bacilli; Caryophanales; Anoxybacillaceae.